Molecule: long non-coding RNA, 523 nt
Organism: Lagopus muta (rock ptarmigan)
Lineage: Eukaryota; Metazoa; Chordata; Aves; Galliformes; Phasianidae
Exons: 3
Source: RefSeq, a predicted model, not a curated record
AGGCUUUCAGAUUUCAUGAGAAACAGGAGCAGCAAAUACACCUGAAGAAACAUCCCUGGAGGACCAAAUAGCCUAUCAGGAUUAUCUGACACCACAGUAUCUCAUAGAGAUGGAAGCUUGCAAGGAAGAUAGAGACUUCUUACAUCUCUGGUUUAUUAUCUCUGUGACACUCACCUCAUCUACUUCUUGCAAGGAAUCAGACAAGAAGUAGCCUAGAGGGACACGUAGAUUGCUAAAGCUAGAGAAGACCCCACGGAAGACCGGUGAAAUCAUCUGGGAUAGCAGGAGAGCAGGCUGUGCUAUUGCUGGGGAAUGAGGAAAGCAAAUCUAAUUAAAGUAAAACCCCAAUUACUAACUGUUUUUCAAAAUCACACAUAUACUUAUGUUCCAAGGCCUCUGCUUUGCUCUAUUAUGGAAACCCUUGCAAAGCAAACCAACUUUAAGAUGCUACCAAGGUGGACAGUGGGUUCAGCUCCCAUUUUGUGUAUAUGAGCAUGGACAUCUCAGAGACAAGCAGAGGAGA